Molecule: RNA transcript, 1538 nt
Organism: Papaver somniferum (opium poppy)
Lineage: Eukaryota; Viridiplantae; Streptophyta; Magnoliopsida; Ranunculales; Papaveraceae
Exons: 4
Source: RefSeq, a predicted model, not a curated record
UCAAAUCCCAAAAAGAUUAAAAAAAUCGGAAGAAAAAGAAAACCAUCAUCUCCGUGAGCUUGAGAAACCCUGGAAUCCUGAAUUCACACUCACAGUAGCUAAAUCCUAACCUGAAAGUUCCUUGAAACUGUUGAACUCUAGUAUUGAAAAAUUGCAGAUAAUGGCAGUCUCGAUUCCUCUUCUCCACCAUCUUCUGAAACCCCAUCCCCCUUCUUUCCUCUUCUUAGAGCCCCUCUGUUUAACUAGCUCUCUCCAUUUACAUAAACCUCUACGUUCUUUCAUCAUAAACCCUAAUUCUCAUUCUUCAUCUUCUAGUGUUUCUUACUUCCUUAAACCCUCUUCUUCUUACUUAUCUUCAUCUUCUUUUUCACAUCCCCAAACUCUCUCCACUAGGGCUUUGGUUAAUCAAGACAGAGAAUUCGACCUUGACACUGAAAAUGAAUUCGAAGAAGAAUUCCUAACGGAAGAUGAAGGAGUGGAAACAGAAGAAGUGGAAGAAGAAAUAACAGGUGAAGCUCAAAUUGAACAAGAACUGGAACCGUUGACAGAAUUUGAAGUACCUGUUUUGACUAUGAAAGAAAAGAAAGAACUUGCAUCUUAUGCUCAUAGUCUAGGGAAGAAACUUAAGUCUCAACAAGUUGGUAAAUCUGGUGUUACUUCUUCUCAAGCUGCUGCAUUCAUUGAAAACCUUGAAUCCAAUGAGCUCCUUAAGCUCAAAAUACAUAACAGUUGUCCAGGGGAGCUAGUUGAUGUGGUGAGGGCAUUGGAGAAAUCAACUGGAUCAGUAGCUGUGGGUCAGAUUGGCCGAUCUGUAAUUCUAUACAGACCCAGCAUUACCAAAUUAAAAGCAGCAGAGAAACGAAACCAAGAAAGAAAAGUAUAUGUGAGAAAAGGAUACACACCGAGACCCACUGAUACGUUGCUGAAGAAAGUGGAAGUACCAAGAUUCUCUGGAAGCGGUCGCCGUGGAAGACGUGUUCAAACUCACCCUACCCGCACACGAUCGUAGUUUGCUAUAAUUCUAUAUUCCAAAGAGAGAGGGAAUGAUAUUUCAAAAUGCAAGUUUCCGCUAGUGUAAGUUGAUAGAUUGUUGGCUGAUACGGUUUAAUAUACCAUUGACGAGUGGUUGUUCGAAAAUUGCAUUAUUUUGAUGAACUGUUGAAUAGGGAUGGUUUGUUCUGGGGUUUGUUGCUUAAAGGAAGAGUUAGAGUUAAGCAAAAAUGUGGCUUUACUUGGAGAAAGAUUAAUACUCGAGUUGAGUUCACUCAUGAAGCUCAAGAUUGCUACAAGACAUUCCCGGGAAACAAAUCCAUCUUUCUUCUUUUUUGCUUUUUUCAUUUUUUUUCCAGGAAACUUUGAUGUUUGGUUCUAAGCCCACAAAGUUAGUUAUAGACUUAUAGUAGGGUUCAACCGGAUAUUUUUUUAUUUAGAGGUCCAAAAUUAAUUAAAACAUGGAAAUGACCAUAAUAUCCAUUGUUACCAAACGUGUGUGUCUGCACGUUCAUUAUAUCGAGUACAUAUCGGUUACACUGAUUAUA